Molecule: long non-coding RNA, 434 nt
Organism: Rosa rugosa (rugosa rose)
Lineage: Eukaryota; Viridiplantae; Streptophyta; Magnoliopsida; Rosales; Rosaceae
Exons: 2
Source: RefSeq, a predicted model, not a curated record
UAUUCUAUCUAAUUGCAUCACUCUCAACUUUUAAGCAGAUGCUUAAAGGAGAUCCACCACUUUCAAAUUACGAGCCUCAUGAAACAGCCAAAUUUGUUGCAGAAGGACACACCCCUGAACCGAAAAACAAAUGAUGAAAUGAAAGUCGCUGAAUUGAAAGCUAAACUUGGCAGUGAGAUGAACAAAAUUGAAGGCCUUUAUUUCUGGCAAGUCUUCCAAGCUACUAACAUUUUGGCGACCAAAUUUGAUCUGCUGAGCGUGGUUUCUUCCCAUGUUGCAGAAAAGGAAAAAGGAUUAUGUUUUAAAUCUUUUAGAGCAUGACACCCAUGGCUUAUGAACUAUAGUAUGUAAAAGCUUUCCGGUAACCAUUUAUAGUUGUUCCAACAGUGACUGUAAGUAAGAAACUAAGAAUACUCAAUAUUCUUAUAAUUCCA